CCUACGGGAGGCAGCAGUGGGGGAUAUUGCACAAUGGGGGAAACCCUGAUGCAGCGACGCCGCGUGUGGGAAGACGGUCUUCUGGAUUGUAAACCACUGUCCCCAGGGACGAAACUGACGGUACCUGGGGAGGACGCUCCGGCUAACUACGUGCCAGCAGCCGCGGUAAUACGUAGGGAGCAAGCGUUGUCCGGAAUUACUGGGUGUAAAGGGAGCGUAGGCGGGGAUGCAAGUUGGGUGUCAAAACUACCGGCUCAACCGAUAGUCGCACUCAAAACUGCAACUCUUGAGUGAAGUAGAGGCAGGCGGAAUUCCUAGUGUAGCGGUGAAAUGCGUAGAUAUUAGGAGGAACACCAGUGGCGAAGGCGGCCUGCUGGGCUUUGACUGACGCUGAGGCUCGAAAGUGUGGGGAGCAAACAGGAUUAGAUACCCGAGUAGUC
This 440-nucleotide ribosomal RNA is filed under the name uncultured bacterium. RNAcentral's name for it is "partial 16S ribosomal RNA". It matches the Rfam family "Bacterial small subunit ribosomal RNA", at positions 338 to 795 of the family's 1533-position model. The record is from RNAcentral.